UACGUAGGGUGCAAGCGUUAAUCGGAAUUACUGGGCGUAAAGCGUGCGCAGGCGGUUCUAUAAGACAGAUGUGAAAUCCCCGGGCUCAACCUGGGAACUGCAUUUGUGACUGUAGAGCUGGAGGUACGGCAGAGGGGGAUGGAAUUCCGCGUGUAGCAGUGAAAUGCGUAGAUAUGCGGAGGAACACCGAUGGCGAAGGCAAUCCCCUGGGCCUGUACUGACGCUCAUGCACGAAAGCGUGGGGAGCAAACAGG
RNAcentral lists this ribosomal RNA (254 nucleotides) under uncultured bacterium. RNAcentral describes it as "partial 16S ribosomal RNA". It matches the Rfam family "Bacterial small subunit ribosomal RNA", at positions 524 to 776 of the family's 1533-position model. The record is from RNAcentral.